ACCCUUUAAUGUUUGAUGUUCUAACGUGGACCCGUGAUCCGGGUUGCGGACAGUGUCUGGUGGGUAGUUUGACUGGGGCGGUCUCCUCCUAAAGAGUAACGGAGGAGCACGAAGGUUGGCUAAUCCUGGUCGGACAUCAGGAGGUUAGUGCAAUGGCAUAAGCCAGCUUGACUGCGAGCGUGACGGCGCGAGCAGGUGCGAAAGCAGGUCAUAGUGAUCCGGUGGUUCUGAAUGGAAGGGCCAUCGCUCAACGGAUAAAAGGUACUCCGGGGAUAACAGGCUGAUACCGCCCAAGAGUUCAUAUCGACGGCGGUGUUUGGCACCUCGAUGUCGGCUCAUCACAUCCUGGGGCUGAAGUAGGUCCCAAGGGUAUGGCUGUUCGCCAUUUAAAGUGGUACGCGAGCUGGGUUUAGAACGUCGUGAGACAGUUCGGUCCCUAUCUGCCGUGGGCGCUGGAGAACUGAGGGGGGCUGCUCCUAGUACGAGAGGACCGGAGUGGACGCAUCACUGGUGUUCGGGUUGUCAUGCCAAUGGCACUGCCCGGUAGCUAAAUGCGGAAGAGAUAAGUGCUGAAAGCAUCUAAGCACGAAACUUGCCCCGAGAUGAGUUCUCCCUGAGACUUAAAGUCUCCUGAAGGAACGUUGAAGACGACGACGUUGAUAGGCCGGGUGUGUAAGCGCAGCGAUGCGUUGAGCUAACCGGUACUAAUGAACCGUGAGGCUUAACCUUACAACGCCG
RNAcentral lists this ribosomal RNA (738 nucleotides) under Salmonella enterica subsp. enterica serovar Newport. RNAcentral's name for it is "partial 23S ribosomal RNA". It matches the Rfam family "Bacterial large subunit ribosomal RNA", at positions 2202 to 2925 of the family's 2925-position model. The record is from RNAcentral. Lineage: Bacteria; Pseudomonadati; Pseudomonadota; Gammaproteobacteria; Enterobacterales; Enterobacteriaceae.